UACGUAGGGGGCUAGCGUUGUCCGGAAUCAUUGGGCGUAAAGAGCGCGUAGGCGGCUUGGCAAGUGGAUGGUGAAAUCCCUCGGCUUAACCGAGGAACUGCCGUCCAAACUGCUUAGCUUGAGACCGGGAGAGGUGAGUGGAAUUCCCAGUGUAGCGGUGAAAUGCGUAGAUAUUGGGAGGAACACCAGUGGCGAAGGCGGCUCACUGGACCGGAACUGACGCUGAUGCGCGAAAGCGUGGGGAGCAAACAGG
Molecule: ribosomal RNA, 253 nt
Filed under: uncultured bacterium
Lineage: Bacteria
Description: partial 16S ribosomal RNA
Rfam family: Bacterial small subunit ribosomal RNA
Source: RNAcentral